RNAcentral lists this small RNA (28 nucleotides) under Bombyx mori (domestic silkworm). RNAcentral describes it as "ovarian small RNA-34605". Lineage: Eukaryota; Metazoa; Arthropoda; Insecta; Lepidoptera; Bombycidae. The record is from RNAcentral.
UGGAGCUUAUGUGAGCAGUAUGGUGGAU